UGGGGAAUCUUCCGCAAUGGACGGAAGUCUGACGGAGCAACGCCGCGUGAGUGAAGAAGGUUUUCGGAUCGUAAAACUCUGUUUUCAGGGAAGAAUGUGCAGCUUGUAAAUAAUGAGUUGUAAUGACGGUACCUGAGUAGAAAGCCACGGCUAACUACGUGCCAGCAGCCGCGGUAAUACGUAGGUGGCAAGCGUUGUCCGGAAUUAUUGGGCGUAAAGCGCGCGCAGGUGGGAUAUUAAGUCUGGUGUUGAAGUUCGGGGCUCAACCCCGUGAAGCAUUUGGAAACUGAUAUUCUCGAGUGCAGGAGAGGAAAGUGGAAUUCCUAGUGUAGCGGUGAAAUGCGUAGAUAUUAGGAGGAACACCAGUGGCGAAGGCGACUUUCUGGACUGUGUCUGACACUGAGGCGCGAAAGCCAGGGUAGUGAACG
Molecule: ribosomal RNA, 428 nt
Filed under: uncultured bacterium
Lineage: Bacteria
Description: bacterial SSU rRNA
Rfam family: Bacterial small subunit ribosomal RNA
Source: RNAcentral